Molecule: unclassified non-coding RNA, 342 nt
Filed under: soil metagenome
Description: partial contains 5.8S ribosomal RNA, internal transcribed spacer 2, and large subunit ribosomal RNA
Rfam family: 5.8S ribosomal RNA (bases 1-120)
Source: RNAcentral
GAUGAAGAACGUAGCGAAAUGCGAUAAGUAAUGUGAAUUGCAGAAUUCAGUGAAUCAUCGAAUCUUUGAACGCACAUUGCGCCCGCUAGUAUUCUGGCGGGCAUGCCUGUCCGAGCGUCAUUUCAACCCUCAAGCCCCCGGGCUUGGUGUUGGGGAUCGGCGAGCCUCCGCGCCCGCCGUCCCCUAAAUCUAGUGGCGGUCUCGCUGUAGCUUCCUCUGCGUAGUAGCACACCUCGCACUGGGAAACAGCGCGGCCACGCCGUUAAACCCCCAACUUCUGAACGUUUGACCUCGGAUCAGGUAGGAAUACCCGCUGAACUUAAGCAUAUCAAUAAGCGGGGA